RNAcentral lists this long non-coding RNA (396 nucleotides) under Malus domestica (apple). Its description in RNAcentral is "long non-coding RNA (MDOM_LNC017466)". Lineage: Eukaryota; Viridiplantae; Streptophyta; Magnoliopsida; Rosales; Rosaceae. The record is from RNAcentral.
GGAUUUAUGGAAAUGUUAUGAAUGUAUUUAGGUUGGAUGGAUGCCACGGCAAGGUUGAAGGGAAUGUAUGGAUUUGUGUUUGAUUUUUGGUUGGAUGAGUGCCACGGCAAGGGAAUGGAUUUGUAUGUGUUUGUGGGAUGUGGGAAUAUAUGGAUGAAUGUAAGGUGCUCACGGCUAGGGCAUUGGAAUUCUAGUUAUGGUGAAGGGUGGAUGUAUUUAUAGGCUAGGGAGAGGAUGUAGUGGGUGGUGGUAAUAAGUGGAUGUAGUGGUAGGUGAAUGUGUUAGGUGGUUGUAAUGAGUGGAUGUGGUGGUAGGUGAAUGUGUUGGGUGGUUGUAAUGAGUGGAUGUGUUGGGUGAAAUGAGUGGAUGUAGUGGUAGGUGAAUGAAUGUGUUGGG